GCUACUGCCAUCAGAGUUCGAUUAAGCCAUGUUAGUCGAGGGUGCUUCUUCUUCGGAAGAGGUAACCCGGCGGACGGCUCAGUAACACGUGGAUAACUUGCCCUUGGGUCCGGGAUAACCCCUGAGAAAUUGGGGACAAUACCGGAUAGGGCAUCGAUAGCUGGAAUGCGCGAUGUCCAAAAGCUGAGGCGCCCAAGGAUAGGUCUGCGGCCGAUUAGGUUGUUGUUGAUGUAAUGGAUCAACAAGCCUGCAAUCGGUACGGGUUGUGAGAGCAAGAGCCCGGAGAUGGGUUCUGAGAAAAGAACCCAGGUCCUACGGGACGCAUCAGGCGCGAAAACUUUACAAUGUGCGAAAGCACGAUAAGGGAACUCUGAGUGCCUCCUAUGGAGGCUGUUCAGGUGUCUAAAAAGCACUUGAAGUAAGGGCUGGGUAGGACCGGUGCCAGCCGCCGCGGUAACACCGGCAGCCCAAGUGGUAGCCACGAUUAUUGGGUCUAAAGCGUCCGUAGCCGGCCAGGUAAGUUCUUUGGGAAAUUUAACCGCUCAACGGUUAAGCUUUCAGGGAAUACUGCUUGGCUUGGGACCGGGAGAGGUCAGAGGUACUUCAAGGGUAGGGGUGAAAUCCGUUAAUCCUUGAGGGAC
Molecule: ribosomal RNA, 641 nt
Filed under: uncultured archaeon
Lineage: Archaea
Description: bacterial SSU rRNA
Rfam family: Archaeal small subunit ribosomal RNA
Source: RNAcentral